UGCAGUCGAACGAACCUUCGGGUGAGUGGCGGACGGGUGAGUAACGCGUGGGAAUCUGCCCUCAGGAGGGGGAUAACGGCUGGAAACGGCCGCUAAUACCCCAUAUGCCGAGAGGUGAAAUGAAUUUCGCCUGAGGAUGAGCCCGCGUCUGAUUAGCUAGUUGGUGAGGUAAGAGCUCACCAAGGCAUCGAUCAGUAGCUGGUCUGAGAGGAUGAUCAGCCACACUGGGACUGAGACACGGCCCAGACUCCUACGGGAGGCAGCAGUGGGGAAUUUUCCGCAAUGGGCGAAAGCCCGACGGAGCAACGCCGCGUGAGGGAUGAAGGCCUCUGGGCUGUAAACCUCUUUUCUCAAGGAAGAAGAUCUGACGGUACUUGAGGAAUAAGCCACGGCUAAUUCCGUGCCAGCAGCCGCGGUAAUACGGGAGUGGCAAGCGUUAUCCGGAAUUAUUGGGCGUAAAGCGUCCGCAGGCGGCCCUUCAAGUCUGCUGUUAAAACGUGGAGCUUAACUCCAUCAUGGCAGUGGAAACUGUUGGGCUUGAGUGUGGUAGGGGCAGAGGGAAUUCCCGGUGUAGCGGUGAAAUGCGUAGAUAUCGGAAAGAACACCAGUGGCGAAGGCGCUCUGCUGGGCCAUAACUGACGCUCAUGGACGAAAGCCAGGGGAGCGAAAGGGAUUAGAUACCCCUGUAGUCCUGGCCGUAAACGAUGAACACUAGGUGUCGGGGGGAAUCGACCCCCCUCGGUGUCGUAGCCAACGCGUUAAGUGUUCCGCCUGGGGAGUACGCACGCAAGUGUGAAACUCAAAGGAAUUGACGGGGGCCCGCACAAGCGGUGGAAUUAGUUGGUUUAAUUCGAUGCAACGCGAAGAACCUUACCAGGGUUUGACAUCCUGCGAACCUCUUGGAAACGAGAGGGUGCCUUCGGGAGCGCAGUGACAGGUGGUGCAUGGCUGUCGUCAGCUC
RNAcentral lists this ribosomal RNA (961 nucleotides) under uncultured marine bacterium. RNAcentral's name for it is "bacterial SSU rRNA". It matches the Rfam family "Bacterial small subunit ribosomal RNA", at positions 56 to 1061 of the family's 1533-position model. The record is from RNAcentral.